UUAGGGCACGACACCGGAGAGGGAGCCUGAGAAACGGCUACCACAUCCAGGAUGGCAGCAGGCGCGCAAAUUACCCAAUCCCGACACGGGGAGGUAGUGACAAUAAAUAACAAUACGGGGUUCUUUAGGAUCUCGUAAUUGGAAUGAGUACAAUUUAAAUCUCUUAACGAGGAACAAUUGGAGGGCAAGUCUGGUGCCAGCAGCCGCGGUAAUUCCAGCUCCAAUAGCGUAUAUUAAAGUUGUUGCAGUUAAAAAGCUCGUAGUUGAAUUUCGGGGUUAGUAGGUUGGUCAUGCCUCUGGUAUGUACUGGUCUCACUGAUUCCUCCUUCCUGAUGAGCCGUAAUGCCAUUAAUUUGGUGUUGCGGGGAAUUUGGACUGUUACUUUGAAAAAAUUAGAGUGUUUAAAGCAAGCUAACGCUUGAAUACAUUAGCAUGGAAUAAUGAAAUAGGACGUUCGAUCCUAUUUUGUUGGUUUCUAGGAUUGACGUAAUGAUUAAUAGGGAUAGUUGGGGGCAUUAGUAUUCAAUUGUCAGAGGUGAAAUUCUUGGAUUUAUUGAAGACUAACUACUGCGAAAGCAUUUGCCAAGGAUGUUUUCAUUAAUCGAGAACGAAAGUUAAGGGAUCGAAGACGAUCAAAUACCGUCGUAAUCUUACCAUAAACUAUGCCGACUAAGGAUCGGAUGAAUGUUAGUUUUUAAUGA
RNAcentral lists this ribosomal RNA (701 nucleotides) under uncultured Glomus. RNAcentral describes it as "SSU rRNA". It matches the Rfam family "Eukaryotic small subunit ribosomal RNA", at positions 370 to 1076 of the family's 1831-position model. The record is from RNAcentral. Lineage: Eukaryota; Fungi; Glomeromycota; Glomeromycetes; Glomerales; Glomeraceae.